Long non-coding RNA from Quercus robur (English oak), 1483 nucleotides. RefSeq lists it as uncharacterized. NCBI's taxonomy places the organism in Eukaryota, Viridiplantae, Streptophyta, Magnoliopsida, Fagales, Fagaceae. The transcript has 4 exons. The record is from RefSeq and is a predicted model, not a curated record.
UAGAAAUAGAGAGGAGCGAUGCGGACACGGAGAGUAACAAAGAAAGAGAGAGGUGAUGAAAUCAAAAACCUUCAAAAAAUGUUUUUGCAAACCCAAAACAUCGUUUACCGCAAAACAUAACCCAGUUCUCUUCUAAACCUAGACAUACACCAAGAUAGAAACAGAGAGAGGCGAUGAGUACACGGAGAAAGAAGCAAAGAAAGAGAGGCGAUGAAAUCAAAAAGUUUCAAGAAACGAUUUUGCAGACCCAAAACCUUGGUAGAACGGUAAACAGAGAAGGCACGGAGUGGGGACUAGGGAGAGAGGCGAUGAAUAUAUGGAGAAAGAAACAGAAAAAGAGAGAGGCGAUGAAGACACGGAGAACGAAAGAGAAAAAGAGAGAGGCGAUCCUGGGACACGGAGAAAGAAGAGAAUGCCUCUCUGUUUCUCUCACUAAGAUCAGAGUAAAAGUCCCCUCUGCCCACAAACAACGCCUCCGAUGGGUUCUAUUCUUUCACUGAUUUUUUUUAGAGAUGAAGUGGAAUCUUUCCACAAUCCAGAGUCUCUAAUUUCAUCAAAUCAAGGUAUAGAGAGUUGAAUGUAAGAAAAUUCCCAACAAAUCACUUUAUAAUUUAUGCCCACCACUGUAAUAUGCACCAAGUUCAGAUUUUUAUGUCAAUCUUCUUGCACUGCGAAAGCUUGACAUGAUGCUCAAAUGCAAGUUAAGUUUUAUUUUCUUAAAGAGAAAUUCAUUUUUUUAGAUAAACGCUAUUUUCCCUUAGAUGUGGAAAAUAUUGCCUAUAGUGGUUUAUUUAGAAGCUUUCUUUGAGCAAUUUUUCAAAAUUUAUGAAGGAUCAUAAUAACGUUUAAUUGUGGUCCUCCACUAAAUAUGCAUGUAGUUCUAGGGUGCAAUUUCUUCACUUUAUAUGUUGUUUAAAUAGAUAAUAUUUUUGAAAGUUAUCCCAUGUCUUUUUUUUUCCCAGUUAAAUAACAAUUUCAUUUCAAUAGAAACAAGAAAUUAGAUAUUGAUUUUGCAUAAAUAUUGAUGUUUAUAUUUGGUUAUAAUAAAAAGCAAUUUUUUCUUCUAGAAUAGAUGGUUGUUAAAGGAGGCUUACAGGCAAAUAACUCAUUGUAAAUAUGCACCAAGUUCAGAUUUUUAUGUCAAUCUUCUUGCACUGUCAAAAGCUUGACAUGAUGCUCAAAAGAAAUAUUAAAUGUUUUUAAAGAUAUUGCAUUAGGAGCAUUAUGGAGAAUUCCCUUUGUUUGGACUCAUUUCAUGUGUUCCUCCAAGUGGCCCCUUUGAGAAGGGUAUGACACACAUGAUGUGAUUCAAAGAUACUAAUGUUUUAACAUUUUUUUGGGAAUAUUGGAUACUAUAUGUCUAAAUAUACUACAUUAUUUAAGUUUGAAUGUUUGCAGUGGAAAUGGGAGAACUAAGUUUAUGUUGAAUGCAAAGUAUUUUAAAUCGUAAAAUGAUCCCGCGCAUUGCGCGGGUUAAACGCUA